Oncorhynchus tshawytscha (Chinook salmon) is the source of this 347-nucleotide long non-coding RNA. The record is from Ensembl. NCBI's taxonomy places the organism in Eukaryota, Metazoa, Chordata, Actinopteri, Salmoniformes, Salmonidae.
CCCCUCCAUACUCUUUCCCUCUGUCAGGUAGAGCCCUCGCCCUGCCCCUCUGUUUCCCUCUGGCAGGAAGAGCCCUCGCCCCUCCAAUCUGUUUCCCUCUGGCAGGAAGAGCCCUCGUCCUCCAUUCUGUUUCCCUCUGUCAGGCAGAGCCCUCGCCCCUCCUCUCUGUUUCCCUCUGUCAGGCAGAGCCCUCAACCCUCCAAUCUGUUUCCCUCUGGCAGGCAGAGCCCUCGCCCUGCCCCUCUGUUUCCCUCUGUCAGGCAGAGCCCUCGCUCCUCCAAUCUGUUUCCCUCUGGCAGGCAGAGCCCUCGCUCCUCCAUUCUGUUUCCCUCUGGCAGCCAGAGCCC